CUGUGGAUGUUUCCAUCCGGUGACGUGAUUAAGAAAAGCAGACAAAUAACUAUGAUACCAGAUGUACUCCUUAAGCAAUAUAAUGAAGGGGGAGGCAGGACAUCUGGUUUUAAUUCCACUUCUGCCCCUCACUGACAGUGUAGCUUUAGGCAGAUCACUCCGAGCUUGGUUUUCAUAUCAUGAGAAAAAGGGAACUGGGAUUGUCUUUUCAGGGCAGAGUUUCUGUUUGUGCAUAUUUGCCAAAGUGGAGGUACAAAUUAUAGCACGGUGGAUGCUUGCGCCGGAAUGCCUGGGCUGGAAUUCUGGCUCUUCUGCUUAUCAACUGUGUAACUCCGGUCAAGAAGGAGAAAGUUCUGGGCCUGGAAAGGGGCUACUCUCACCCAUGGCAUGGCUGGCCCUCAGCUGCCUCUGGCUGGAGCAACUGCUUUACAGUGGGGUAAGAGGAGGGCAUGGAAGUCUGCCAGGAAGCAGCCCCCUGCUCUGCGGGAUGCCUGUCUCCUAUUGUUCUUGGAUUUAGUAGCCUCUCCAAGCCCCUCCUCCCAAAGGCUUAAUUUUUAAUAGAAUGAAAUUCAAUGCUUGGAGAAUUUGAGGGGAAAAUGUAUACCUUUGCUUCUUUCUUGAGUCUGAUACUAGGUGAGACCUCAUAAAUGC
RNAcentral lists this long non-coding RNA (651 nucleotides) under Callithrix jacchus (white-tufted-ear marmoset). RNAcentral describes it as "lncRNA (ENSCJAG00000055818.2)". The record is from RNAcentral. Lineage: Eukaryota; Metazoa; Chordata; Mammalia; Primates; Cebidae.